GUAGGUGGCAAGCGUUGUCCGGAAUUAUUGGGCGUAAAGCGCGCGCAGGCGGUCCUUUAAGUCUGAUGUGAAAGCCCACGGCUCAACCGUGGAGGGUCAUUGGAAACUGGGGGACUUGAGUACAGAAGAGGAAAGCGGAAUUCCACGUGUAGCGGUGAAAUGCGUAGAGAUGUGGAGGAACACCAGUGGCGAAGGCGGCUUUCUGGUCUGUAACUGACGCUGAGGCGCGAAAGCGUGGGGAGCAAACAGGAUUAGAUACCCUGGUAGUCCACGCCGUAAACGAUGAGUGCUAAGUGUUAGGGGGUUUCCGCCCCUUAGUGCUGCAGCUAACGCAUUAAGCACUCCGCCUGGGGAGUACGGCCGCAAGGCUG
RNAcentral lists this ribosomal RNA (371 nucleotides) under uncultured Gram-positive bacterium. RNAcentral describes it as "bacterial SSU rRNA". It matches the Rfam family "Bacterial small subunit ribosomal RNA", at positions 527 to 896 of the family's 1533-position model. The record is from RNAcentral.